GAUGAAGAACGUAGCGAAAUGCGAUAAGUAAUGUGAAUUGCAGAAUUUAGUGAAUCAUCGAAUCUUUGAACGCAUAUUGCGCCCGCCAGCACUCUGGCGGGCAUGCCUGUUCGAGCGUCAUUUCAACCCUCAGGCCUCGCGUCUGGCGUUGGGGCGCUGCGGCCCUCCCGCAGGCCCCCAAAUUUAGCGGCGGAUUCCCCGCGGCCCUGAGCGCAGUAGAGAGUAAAAACUUUAACGCUCCGGCGGCCGUGGCGCGGUUCUGCCUCUUUCCCAAUAGCGCCAACAGCGCCACCCCCAAAAAAGUUGACCUCGGAUCAGGUAGGACUACCCGCUGAACUUAAGCAUAUCAAUAAGCGGAGGA
RNAcentral lists this unclassified non-coding RNA (361 nucleotides) under soil metagenome. Its description in RNAcentral is "partial contains 5.8S ribosomal RNA, internal transcribed spacer 2, and large subunit ribosomal RNA". The stretch from base 1 to 120 matches the Rfam family "5.8S ribosomal RNA", at positions 35 to 154 of the family's 154-position model. The record is from RNAcentral.